Molecule: small nuclear RNA, 23 nt
Filed under: Arabidopsis thaliana (thale cress)
Lineage: Eukaryota; Viridiplantae; Streptophyta; Magnoliopsida; Brassicales; Brassicaceae
Description: snRNA_09749
Source: RNAcentral
CUGAAGCAUGGCUAUUUUGCUUU